AUUGAACGCUGGCGGCAGGCCUAACACAUGCAAGUCGAGCGGAUGAAGGGAGCUUGCUCCUGGAUUCAGCGGCGGACGGGUGAGUAAUGCCUAGGAAUCUGCCUGGUAGUGGGGGAUAACGUCCGGAAACGGGCGCUAAUACCGCAUACGUCCUGAGGGAGAAAGUGGGGGAUCUUCGGACCUCACGCUAUCAGAUGAGCCUAGGUCGGAUUAGCUAGUUGGUAGGGUAAAGGCCUACCAAGGCGACGAUCUGUAACUGGUCUGAGAGGAUGAUCAGUCACACUGGAACUGAGACACGGUCCAGACUCCUACGGGAGGCAGCAGUGGGGAAUAUUGGACAAUGGGCGAAAGCCUGAUCCAGCCAUGCCGCGUGUGUGAAGAAGGUCUUCGGAUUGUAAAGCACUUUAAGUUGGGAGGAAGGGCAGUAAGUUAAUACCUUGCUGUUUUGACGUUACCAACAGAAUAAGCACCGGCUAACUUCGUG
RNAcentral lists this ribosomal RNA (484 nucleotides) under uncultured bacterium. RNAcentral's name for it is "partial 16S ribosomal RNA". It matches the Rfam family "Bacterial small subunit ribosomal RNA", at positions 30 to 507 of the family's 1533-position model. The record is from RNAcentral.